UACGUAGGGUGCAAGCGUUAAUCGGAAUUACUGGGCGUAAAGCGUGCGCAGGCGGUUGGGCAAGACCGAUGUGAAAGCCCCGGGCUUAACCUGGGAAUGGCAUUGAUGACUGCACGGCUAGAGUGUGUCAGAGGGGGGUAGAAUUCCACGUGUAGCAGUGAAAUGCGUAGAGAUGUGGAGGAAUACCGAUGGCGAAGGCAGCCCCCUGGGAUAACACUGACGCUCAUGCACGAAAGCGUGGGGAGCAAACAGG
This 253-nucleotide ribosomal RNA is filed under the name uncultured bacterium. Its description in RNAcentral is "partial 16S ribosomal RNA". It matches the Rfam family "Bacterial small subunit ribosomal RNA", at positions 524 to 776 of the family's 1533-position model. The record is from RNAcentral.